AGUGAACGCUGGCGGUAGGCCUAACACAUGCAAGUCGAACGGCAGCACAGUAAGAGCUUGCUCUUACGGGUGGCGAGUGGCGGACGGGUGAGGAAUACAUCGGAAUCUACUUUUUCGUGGGGGAUAAUGUAGGGAAACUUACGCUAAUACCGCAUACGACCUACGGGUGAAAGCAGGGGAUCUUCGGACCUUGCGCGAUUGAAUGAGCCGAUGUCGGAUUAGCUAGUUGGCGGGGUAAAGGCCCACCAAGGCGACGAUCCGUAGCUGGUCUGAGAGGAUGAUCAGCCACACUGGAACUGAGACACGGUCCAGACUCCUACGGGAGGCGGCAGUGGGGAAUAUUGGACAAUGGGCGCAAGCCUGAUCCAGCCAUACCGCGUGGGUGAAGAAGGCCUUCGGGUUGUAAAGCCCUUUUGCUGGGAAAGAAAAGCAGCAGGUUAAUACCCCGCUGUUCUGACGGUACCCAAAGAAUAAGCACCGGCUAACUUCGUG
This 492-nucleotide ribosomal RNA is filed under the name uncultured bacterium. RNAcentral describes it as "partial 16S ribosomal RNA". It matches the Rfam family "Bacterial small subunit ribosomal RNA", at positions 29 to 507 of the family's 1533-position model. The record is from RNAcentral.